AUUCAACUUGACUUUCCAACAUCAAAGAAGCUUCAAAUGAAUUUUUGGUCAACAUGAAAGUUGAAGAUCUUUCUCUCCCAUUUCCAAAAAGUCCAAGAUCAUGAGCAUCUGAUGAAUGGUUGAGAUGUUAUGAUCCAAUGAUUGCAAAGUGUGCUUGAAACUUCAAAGUGGCAUAACUUUUGAUCCAAAACUCCAAUUUAAGCCACUCUUUUUGCAUAAUACUUCUCAUGACCUAUAUUUUCC
This 243-nucleotide long non-coding RNA is filed under the name Lathyrus oleraceus (garden pea). RNAcentral's name for it is "Pisum sativum (pea) long non-coding RNA (PSAT_LNC025509)". The record is from RNAcentral. Lineage: Eukaryota; Viridiplantae; Streptophyta; Magnoliopsida; Fabales; Fabaceae.